RNAcentral lists this transfer RNA (76 nucleotides) under Bifidobacteriaceae bacterium. RNAcentral describes it as "tRNA-Phe". It matches the Rfam family "tRNA". From Rfam's summary of the family: Transfer RNA (tRNA) molecules are approximately 80 nucleotides in length. The record is from RNAcentral. Lineage: Bacteria; Bacillati; Actinomycetota; Actinomycetes; Bifidobacteriales; Bifidobacteriaceae.
GGCUCGAUAGCUCAGUUGGGAGAGCGUCCGCCUGAAAAGCGGAAGGUCAGCGGAUCGAUGCCGCUUCGAGCCACCA